Long non-coding RNA from Lemur catta (Ring-tailed lemur), 617 nucleotides. RefSeq lists it as uncharacterized. The transcript is spliced from 4 exons. The record is from RefSeq and is a predicted model, not a curated record. Lineage: Eukaryota; Metazoa; Chordata; Mammalia; Primates; Lemuridae.
UUAAUUGCAGUAUAAUCCCUUCCACUUCUUUCCUCGCUGGAUUCAGCAUAGUAACACAGGAACCUUGGUCCUUGGGAGUUGUGUGCAACUGUACGAGAUCAUAAACACCACGACCACCAUGUACAUGGUCAUGGAGUAUGCCAGUCAUGCCCUCACCACCAUCCCUCUCCAGAACUUUUUCAUCUUGCCAAAGUUAAACACUAACCCCUCCCCCAGCUCCUGGCAACCACCGUUCUAUCUGCCUGUGUGAGUUUGACUGCUCUGGGGACCUCACAUAGGGAUCACAGCAUUUGUCCUUUUGGGACUGGCGCGUUUCAUUCAGCAUAAGCCAGAGAAUCUGUUACUUGACAAGAAGUAUAACAUCAAAAUAACUGAUUUUGGGCACUCCACUGCAGACCUUUUGCGGGACCACUUUCUACGUAGCCCCGGAGAUCUUGGAGGGAAAAAAGUAUCACGGCCCCAUCAUAGACAUGUGGAGUUUGGGGGUGGUACCUUAUGUGCUCGUUACCGGCACCCUGUCCUUUGAUGAGGACAAUCUGAAGGUAUAAUUUCCAAUUAGUGGUAUUUUGGUCCAUGUUUUUUGUUGAUUGCACGUCCAACUCUCGGUCUUUGUUCAU